Molecule: long non-coding RNA, 153 nt
Organism: Nomia melanderi (Alkali bee)
Lineage: Eukaryota; Metazoa; Arthropoda; Insecta; Hymenoptera; Halictidae
Source: RefSeq, a predicted model, not a curated record
UCGGAUGUUUCCCAAGCUGUCUGCAUCGGUCGAGACGAUCACGGCGAGCAACCUAACAUCCCACAAUAUCGAUAUCGCAUUCAACUUUCACGUAGGCCGAUAACGAUCUAAUCUAUCAGAGCUCCUUCAACGAAGAAGCAACUGCAACAGCAG